AAACUGGCCAGACCGGUCCGAAUAAUUUUGGAUUUAUCGAGUUUUUGGUGGUCCUUAACGUUAGGAGCAAGGUCUAGUUCAUUUUUUUAUUAGGGAACCCUAGAAUUAAGUUUUUCUUUCACUUUUACACCCUUUCUUUUGUUUAAUUUAAUUUCUCGCACUUAUUUGCUACGUGUUUACUAUCUAGUUUAUGCGAACUACUUGGGUUAGGAGCGAAUCGUCUAGAUUAGUUAGACCGAUCAUCGAAAUUCCUUCUUCAUCCUCUUCGGACUCCGAACCCAUAGAAGCUAGCGAACCGAUAGUAAACAUGGCAUUGUCUCUUAAAGACCGAUGUUACCCGUCCCGUUCUGCUCA
This 354-nucleotide long non-coding RNA is filed under the name Daucus carota (carrot). RNAcentral's name for it is "long non-coding RNA (DCAR_LNC003565)". The record is from RNAcentral. Lineage: Eukaryota; Viridiplantae; Streptophyta; Magnoliopsida; Apiales; Apiaceae.